CCUACGGGAGGCAGCAGUGGGGAAUCUUGCGCAAUGGGCGAAAGCCUGACGCAGCAACGCCGCGUGCGGGAAGAAGGCUCUCGGGUUGUAAACCGCUUUCAGCAGGAACGAAAAUGACGGUACUUGCAGAAGAAGGUGCGGCCAACUACGUGCCAGCAGCCGCGGUGACACGUAGGCACCAAGCGUUGUCCGGAUUUAUUGGGCGUAAAGAGCUCGUAGGCGGUUCGGUAAGUCAGGUGUGAAAACUUUGGGCUCAACCCAAAGCCUGCAUCUGAUACUGCUGUGACUAGAGUUCGGUAGGGGAGCGGGGAAUUCCUAGUGUAGCGGUGAAAUGCGCAGAUAUUAGGAGGAACACCGGUGGCGAAGGCGCCGCUCUGGGCCGAAACUGACGCUGAGGAGCGAAAGCGUGGGUAGCAAACAGGAUUAGAUACCCUGGUAGUCCACGCCGUAAACGUUGGGCACUAGGUGUGGGGUCUCAACCAACGAGAUCCGCGCCGUCGCUAACGCAUUAAGUGCCCCGCCUGGGGAGUACGGCCGCAAAGGUUAAAACUCAAAUGAAAUUGAACCGGUNUGAGAGUGCGAGGACGACGACGAGGGAGAGG
RNAcentral lists this ribosomal RNA (602 nucleotides) under uncultured bacterium. Its description in RNAcentral is "bacterial SSU rRNA". It matches the Rfam family "Bacterial small subunit ribosomal RNA", at positions 338 to 956 of the family's 1533-position model. The record is from RNAcentral.